This 615-nucleotide ribosomal RNA is filed under the name uncultured Lysobacterales bacterium. Its description in RNAcentral is "bacterial SSU rRNA". It matches the Rfam family "Bacterial small subunit ribosomal RNA", at positions 61 to 657 of the family's 1533-position model. The record is from RNAcentral. Lineage: Bacteria; Pseudomonadati; Pseudomonadota; Gammaproteobacteria; Lysobacterales.
GUCGAACGGUAACAGGUCCUUCGGGAUGCUGACGAGUGGCGGACGGGUGAGGAAUGCAUCGGAAUCUGCCUGUUUGUGGGGGAUAACGCAUGGAAACGUGCGCUAAUACCGCAUACGUCCUUUUGUCGGGAGAUGAUUGGAGAAAGUGGGGGACCUUCGGGCCUCACGCGAACAGAUGAGCCGAUGUCGGAUUAGCUGGUUGGUGGGGUAAAGGCCUACCAAGGCGACGAUCCGUAGCUGGUCUGAGAGGAUGAUCAGCCACACUGGAACUGAGACACGGUCCAGACUCCUACGGGAGGCAGCAGUGGGGAAUAUUGGACAAUGGGGGCAACCCUGAUCCAGCCAUGCCGCGUGUGUGAAGAAGGCCCUUGGGUUGUAAAGCACUUUUGUUGGGGAAGAAAAGUUUUCGGUGAAUAACUGGAGACGCUGACGGUACCCAAAGAAUAAGCACCGGCUAACUUCGUGCCAGCAGCCGCGGUAAUACGAAGGGUGCAAGCGUUACUCGGAAUCACUGGGCGUAAAGGGUGCGCAGGCGGCCUGCCAAGUCUGAUGUGAAAGCCCUGGGCUCAACCUGGGAACGGCAUUGGAAACUGGUGGGCUGGAGUACGGUAGAGG